Ricinus communis (castor bean) is the source of this 1419-nucleotide long non-coding RNA. RefSeq lists it as uncharacterized. The record is from RefSeq and is a predicted model, not a curated record. NCBI's taxonomy places the organism in Eukaryota, Viridiplantae, Streptophyta, Magnoliopsida, Malpighiales, Euphorbiaceae. The transcript has 3 exons.
GGAAGUUCCACCAGCACCAGUAGAUGUGGGCGAUUAGGAGGCUGACCACUAGUAGUACUGGCUCGUGAUAGAUUUAGGUGCCGGUAGUCACCACCGCCACUCGGUAGGGUGACAUCAUCUCCACCAUCUAUAGUAUUCCUAUCAGCAUCGCCAGCGGCAGCUCCGACUGUUACUCGACCACCAUCUACUGUGUCACUAUUAGCUCCUUCGGCGACAGCUCCGGUUGCUACUCCACCACCCCCACAGCUUCCAGAUACAUUUGCUGCUCCUACUUUACCACCCCCAUGCCUCCAACUUGUAGAGACGUCAUCACGUAAUACACUUGUUAGGAGUCCAACGACUGGACCACCAUCACCCGCCAUUAAUAUGAUAACUGGAUAUGUGUCGCGCCUCCUCGAGAUUAAUCUAGAAAUAUACUUUUACGUUAUAGCAACAUAGGCUUUUAGUUUCAUUUUACUUAUUGCGUUACUUUAAUUCACCAAGUCUUUUUUAAUUUUGGUGCAGUAGCCAGUUUAUCUAGUCACAUGUUGCUUUAUCCACCAUGACCUAAAGUUUUCUUCUACAUUCAUGCAAGUGGCAUGAUUGGAAGAACGUGUCAAAUGACGUUGUCGCGUUCUAUUGGGAGGAGUUCAGGAAGGUCAUUGGGAUCCUCGGCUAGGUACCAUGAUGUAUCAGAGGUGGUCUGAGAGGGCCCAAGGGACAGAGACCGGCUGGGGUCUGAGAGGAGGUGUGGGGUAGUUGAAUGGCUCAUUGGUCCUAUAAGAAGUUUCAGAGAAAGCACGUUGAUGCCUCCAUGAAUCGGCGCAAUGAUACUGGAGGCGAGGGAUCAAGACCUCCACUCCAUACGAGAGGUUUGAUCUCUAUGGUGGAGAGAGCCAAAAGGAUGGAUUAGUAUCAUUAAUUGAUAAAGACUGCUUUUCAGGCAGCUAAGGGAUCCACGGAGCCAUCAGAGCCAGACACUACAAAGCUAUCCCUCCAAGUAGCAGGCGGUGAGAAGAAGCGUCGAGUCUAUGGCAUGGGUGCUAAGGCACCCUCUUUCUUUAGUCAUGGAUUAUCCUACAGCUCCACUAGUAGGUUUGAGGUAACAGACGUCCUAGAUCCUCUAAAGAUGCGAGUCAUCGAGAUUGUGCAAUAGUAGGUGCGUUCUCUAUUGAUGAGGACACACUUAUUCGCCACUAGGAGCAGGAGGUGGUGACUUCUAGUACCGUAUAGAGGUCCGACAACUCACCUGAGAGGUCCUUAGAGAGUUUCUGAUGCCCGACACAUCCUCCUAUGGCCCAGUCCAGCAGCAGCAGCAGCAUCAACAAGAUGACCAGGAUCAGUCGAAGAUCAACUUUUAGUUUAGAUUUUUUUUAUUCUUUAUAUAUGUUUGUUAUUGUCCAUUACAAUAAACAUGAAUAAUACUCUUUUUUUAUUAUA